CUGGCUCAGAACGAACGACUGGCGGCGUGCUUAACACAUGCAAGUCGAACGCGAAAGGGGACUUCGGUCCUGAGUAAAGUAGGCGCACGGGUGAGUAACGCGUAGAUAACCUGUCUUCAUGUCUGGAAUAAUACGCCGAAAGGGGUACUAAUACCGGAUAUUCUUGCUUUUCAUAAGUUAUGCAAGCAAAGGUGGCCUCUGCAUAUGCUACUGCAUGAAGAGGGGUCUGCGUACCAUUAGCUAGUAGGUGGGGUAAUGGCCUACCUAGGCGACGAUGGUUAGCGGGUCUGAGAGGAUGAUCCGCCACACUGGCACCGGAACACGGGCCAGACUCCUACGGGAGGCAGCAGUGAGGAAUAUUGCGCAAUGGGGGAAACCCUGACGCAGCGACGCCGCGUGAGUGAGGAAGGCCUUCGGGUCGUAAAGCCCUGUCAAGAGGAAAGAAGUGUACAAUGGCUAAUACCUGUUGUAUUUGACGGUACCUCUAAAGGAAGCACCGGCUAACUCCGUGCCAGCAGCCGC
RNAcentral lists this ribosomal RNA (522 nucleotides) under uncultured bacterium. RNAcentral describes it as "bacterial SSU rRNA". It matches the Rfam family "Bacterial small subunit ribosomal RNA", at positions 19 to 518 of the family's 1533-position model. The record is from RNAcentral.